This 498-nucleotide ribosomal RNA is filed under the name uncultured bacterium. Its description in RNAcentral is "bacterial SSU rRNA". It matches the Rfam family "Bacterial small subunit ribosomal RNA", at positions 10 to 518 of the family's 1533-position model. The record is from RNAcentral.
AGUUUGAUUCUGGCUCAGGAUGAACGCUGGCGGCGUGCUUAACACAUGCAAGUCGAACGGACAUUUAAUGAAACCUAGUGAUUUAAAUGUUAGUGGCGGACGGGUGAGUAACGCGUGGGUAACCUGCCUUACACUGGGGGAUAACACUUAGAAAUAGGUGCUAAUACCGCAUAAGCGCACAGCUUUGCAUGAAGCAGUGUGAAAAACUCCGGUGGUGUAAGAUGGACCCGCGUCUGAUUAGCUAGUUGGUGAGGUAAUGGCUCACCAAGGCGACGAUCAGUAGCCGGCCUGAGAGGGUGAACGGCCACAUUGGGACUGAGACACGGCCCAAACUCCUACGGGAGGCAGCAGUGGGGAAUAUUGGACAAUGGGGGAAACCCUGAAUCCAGCGACGCCGCGUGAGUGAAGAAGUAUUUCGGUAUGUAAAGCUCUAUCAGCAGGGAAGAAAAUGACGGUACCUGACUAAGAAGCCCCGGCUAACUACGUGCCAGCAGCCGC